This 497-nucleotide ribosomal RNA is filed under the name uncultured bacterium. Its description in RNAcentral is "partial 16S ribosomal RNA". It matches the Rfam family "Bacterial small subunit ribosomal RNA", at positions 28 to 507 of the family's 1533-position model. The record is from RNAcentral.
GAUGAACGCUGGCGGCGUGCCUAAUACAUGCCAGUCGAGCGAACAGAUGAGGAGCUUGCUCCUCUGACGUUAGCGGCGGACGGGUGAGUAACACGUGGAUAACCUACCUAUAAGACUGGGAUAACUUCGGGAAACCGGAGCUAGUACCGGAUAAUAUAUUGAACCGCAUGGUUCAAUAGUGAAAGACGGUUUUGCUGUCACUUAUAGAUGGAUCCGCGCCGCAUUAGCUAGUUGGUAAGGUAACGGCUUACCAAGGCAACGAUGCGUAGCCGACCUGAGAGGGUGAUCGGCCACACUGGAACUGAGACACGGUCCAGACUCCUACGGGAGGCAGCAGUAGGGAAUCUUCCGCAAUGGGCGAAAGCCUGACGGAGCAACGCCGCGUGAGUGAUGAAGGUCUUCGGAUCGUAAAACUCUGUUAUUAGGGAAGAACAAAUGUGUAAGUAACUAUGCACGUCUUGACGGUACCUAAUCAGAAAGCCACGGCUAACUACGUG